UACGUAGGGUGCGAGCGUUGUCCGGAAUUAUUGGGCGUAAAGGGCUCGUAGGCGGUUUGUCGCGUCGGGAGUGAAAACGCCGUGCUUAACACGGCGCUUGCUUUCGAUACGGGCAGACUAGAGGUAUGCAGGGGAGAACGGAAUUCCUGGUGUAGCGGUGAAAUGCGCAGAUAUCGGGAAGAACACCCGUGGCGAAGGCGGCUCUCUGGAACGCAACUGACGCUGAGACGCGAAAGCGUGGGGAGCAAACAGG
RNAcentral lists this ribosomal RNA (253 nucleotides) under uncultured bacterium. RNAcentral's name for it is "partial 16S ribosomal RNA". It matches the Rfam family "Bacterial small subunit ribosomal RNA", at positions 524 to 776 of the family's 1533-position model. The record is from RNAcentral.